This 93-nucleotide transfer RNA is filed under the name Trametes cinnabarina. Its description in RNAcentral is "Pycnoporus cinnabarinus tRNA". It matches the Rfam family "tRNA". Rfam says of the family: Transfer RNA (tRNA) molecules are approximately 80 nucleotides in length. Their secondary structure includes four short double-helical elements and three loops (D, anti-codon, and T loops). Lineage: Eukaryota; Fungi; Basidiomycota; Agaricomycetes; Polyporales; Polyporaceae. The record is from Rfam by way of RNAcentral.
GCCCGCCUAGCUCAAUCGGAUAGAGCGUCAGACUCUUACCAUGACUGGGACACGGGCAUCUGAAGGCUGCGAGUUCGACCCUCGCGGUGGGCU